Molecule: ribosomal RNA, 406 nt
Filed under: uncultured bacterium
Lineage: Bacteria
Description: partial 16S ribosomal RNA
Rfam family: Bacterial small subunit ribosomal RNA
Source: RNAcentral
AUUGAACGCUGGCGGCAGGCCUAACACAUGCAAGUCGAACGAGUGGCGGACGGGUGAGUAAUGUCUGGGAAACUGCCCGAUGGAGGGGGAUAACUACUGGAAACGGUAGCUAAUACCGCAUACCAUCGGAUGUGCCCAGAUGGGAUUAGCUAGUAGGUGGGGUAACGGCACACCUAGGAGACGAUCCCUAGCUGGUCUUAAAGGAUGACCGGCCAACAUUGAAACGAUACACGGUCCAUCCUCCUACGGGAGGCAGCAGUGGGGAAGAUUGCACAAUGGGCGUAAGCCUGAUGCAGCCAUGCCGCGUGUAUGAAGAAGGCCUUCGGGUUGUAAAGUACUUUCAGCGAGGAGGCGUUACUCGCAGAAGAAGCACCGGCUAACUCCGUGCCAGCAGCCGCGGUAAUAC